UUCCUAAGCCGAGAAUCGAACCCGGGCCUCCUUGGUGAGAGCUAGGUAUCCUAGCCACUAGAUGUGA
Molecule: transfer RNA, 67 nt
Filed under: Cordylochernes scorpioides
Lineage: Eukaryota; Metazoa; Arthropoda; Arachnida; Pseudoscorpiones; Chernetidae
Description: tRNA-Glu
Source: RNAcentral